Molecule: ribosomal RNA, 590 nt
Filed under: uncultured bacterium
Lineage: Bacteria
Description: bacterial SSU rRNA
Rfam family: Bacterial small subunit ribosomal RNA
Source: RNAcentral
UCCUACGGGAGGCAGCAGUAGGGAAUCUUCCGCAAUGGACGAAAGUCUGACGGAGCAACGCCGCGUGAGUGAUGAAGGCUUUCGGGUCGUAAAACUCUGUUGUUAGGGAAGAACAAGUGCUAGUUGAAUAAGCUGGCACCUUGACGGUACCUAACCAGAAAGCCACGGCUAACUACGUGCCAGCAGCCGCGGUAAUACGUAGGUGGCAAGCGUUAUCCGGAAUUAUUGGGCGUAAAGCGCGCGCAGGUGGUUUCUUAAGUCUGAUGUGAAAGCCCACGGCUCAACCGUGGAGGGUCAUUGGAAACUGGGAGACUUGAGUGCAGAAGAGGAAAGUGGAAUUCCAUGUGUAGCGGUGAAAUGCGUAGAGAUAUGGAGGAACACCAGUGGCGAAGGCGACUUUCUGGUCUGUAACUGACACUGAGGCGCGAAAGCGUGGGGAGCAAACAGGAUUAGAUACCCUGGUAGUCCACGCCGUAAACGAUGAGUGCUAAGUGUUAGAGGGUUUCCGCCCUUUAGUGCCGAAGUUAACGCAUUAAGUACCCCGCCUGGGGAGUACGACCGCAAGGUUGAAACUCAAAGGAAUUGACGGA